Molecule: non-coding RNA, 238 nt
Organism: Corylus avellana
Lineage: Eukaryota; Viridiplantae; Streptophyta; Magnoliopsida; Fagales; Betulaceae
Source: RefSeq, a predicted model, not a curated record
UGAUAGCCUUGCUUAGCUAGAGAAUUUUAUCAGUACAUUUGGUCCCCGUUUAUCAACUUUGUCACGAAAAGACAAAAUAGAAAUGGCAUUUCAUGCGACACCAAAGAAUGGCAGGCUUCCGUUCUUUACGCGUUCUUCAAUCCUACCAAUCAUGAUUGCCACCAUCUUUCUUAUGCAAAUGGUUUUGACUGAUGCAGAUCACAAUUGGAGGGUGGUUGUACGAAAAGUUAACGCUUCC